UACGAAGGGGGCUAGCGUUGUUCGGAAUUACUGGGCGUAAAGCGCACGUAGGCGGACUAUUAAGUCAGGGGUGAAAUCCCGGGGCUCAACCCCGGAACUGCCUUUGAUACUGGUAGUCUCGAGUCCGGAAGAGGAGAGUGGAAUUCCUGGUGUAGCGGUGAAAUGCGCAGAUAUCAGGAAGAACACCAAUGGCGAAGGCAGCUCUCUGGGACGGUACUGACGCUGAGACGCGAAAGCGUGGGGAGCGAACAGG
RNAcentral lists this ribosomal RNA (253 nucleotides) under uncultured bacterium. RNAcentral's name for it is "partial 16S ribosomal RNA". It matches the Rfam family "Bacterial small subunit ribosomal RNA", at positions 524 to 776 of the family's 1533-position model. The record is from RNAcentral.